CUCAGAGAGACGGAACGACAACUUCCGCCCCCCCAGAUUCGAAUGGCGGUACGGGAGAUGCGAGGACUUGACUGAAGGAGGCAAUCAUUGAUCAUAACAGGAGGAUGGAGAACCAUCCUGAUGGACCUCGGGGUCAGGAACCCAUGCAGUGGCAACUUCUGCGUCGAGUGAGGGAUAGAGUGGCCUCUAUUCUUAACAGACAUCCUAUAGACUAUGAAUACCUGCACUUUGUUUGUGUUCAGGAGCUGCAGUUUGUUCGAGCUGGGACAUCAUAUAUGGACAUUCCUGAGAGCGUAUUAGGUAGUCUACAGCAGCUUUCUGACAUUGUCAGCAACUAUCUGUCACAGAGGGUCAUCCCACCACUGUUUAAUGAUAUAGCUGUGACUGAAUUAAGAGGCAGUGUGGGACGACCUCAGAUAACCAUAGAAAGCCAGACUCUUCUAGAUAUGCUAAGCACUGAGUUAUCCCUGACUUCUUUGUCUGACCUCCAUGGGAUUUCCAGGUCAACGUUGUACAGAAGAAUGAAAGACAAUAACCUUUCUGUCCGAAAAUGUUAUUCUGACAUUACAGAUGAUGUGCUGGAUCAGAAAGUUAGGUCUAUCAAAGCACGUAUGCCCCAUGCAGGUUAUAGACUUAUCAAAGGCGCUCUUCAAGCACUGGGGCAUCGCAUUCCAUGGAGACGGGUUGAGAGGUCAUUGCAGCGUGUGGAUGGUGCUGGAGUAAUUUCUAGAAUGGUCCAGCUGUCUUGCAUUGCGAGACGGACAUACUCUGUUCCUGCUCCCUUGUCUCUUGUCCAUAUUGACACAAACCAUAUAUUUAACCGUAUAUUUUUUUUAUUCUCCUACUGAUCUAUUUAAAGACUAUUUUAACUUUAUUUCAUGCAUUCAAUAUAUACAGCCUGAACCAUUAUCUUCUGUAGGUACAACAUUGUAGUUUUUGGAGCGAUCGAUGGCUUUUCGCGGAAGGUUUUUUUUUUUUUUUUCAAUCCACAAUUUAGUCUAUGUCUUGCUGAAGUACUGUACAAGGAUUCUGUUUGUUCUAGAUCUUUUACUUGGAUACAGCUGGGAAUAACAAAGCAGAAACGGCUUUUGGAUUUUUCAUGGAGGGGGUGCAUAAACACGGAUGGCCAUCCA
Acanthochromis polyacanthus (spiny chromis) is the source of this 1133-nucleotide long non-coding RNA. RefSeq lists it as uncharacterized. Lineage: Eukaryota; Metazoa; Chordata; Actinopteri; Pomacentridae. The transcript is spliced from 3 exons. The record is from RefSeq and is a predicted model, not a curated record.